RNAcentral lists this long non-coding RNA (506 nucleotides) under Fukomys damarensis (Damara mole-rat). RNAcentral describes it as "lncRNA (ENSFDAG00000027219.1)". The record is from RNAcentral. Lineage: Eukaryota; Metazoa; Chordata; Mammalia; Rodentia; Bathyergidae.
CGUUAUUUUUUCAUUUCUAGCACCUAGAAAAGCACCAGACAUAGAAUUGAAUGCUAUAAAAGUUUCCUGACUUCAUAAAUUUCACUGACAAGGAUAUCUAGAAACCCAAAGACAGAGCUGCCCCCUCCAUAUCACCACUGCUUUUCCUCUUGCUUCUGUACAUCCUGGGAUCUGAUUGAGCACUGUACUACUGAGCACUGUACAGGAAGAACACAGCAGCACAACUGUGACAAUGUCCAGCAGACAGAAACGAUGUCUAAUCCAGAACUGACUGCCCUUUCCCAGCGGCCCCUCAGGCUCCUUUGGCGGGAACCCAAACCUUAUAAAGGAGGUUUCCUCCUUUCUUCUUCGCUUCCACGGGACUGCCUUUCCUCCUGAUCUACAAAUAAAACUGAUUUUGUUGGUCUGGGUUUCUACCGGAUGGCCUUUGGCUGAUUUGCCUUUAACAUAAAUCAGGUUAGUGUGACUUUUAUUCGGUUAAGUUUCAUGAUCUCCGCCAAAUCCGC